CCCAGCGGGAAACGACGAUGAGCAGAAAGGCACAUGGACGGCACGCGCACGCCGGUUUAGUGACUGCGUACCUUUUGUAUAAUGGGUCAGCGACUUAUAUUCUGUAGCAAGGUUAACCGAAUAGGGGAGCCGAAGGGAAACCGAGUCUUAACUGGGCGUUAAGUUGCAGGGUAUAGACCCGAAACCCGGUGAUCUAGCCAUGGGCAGGUUGAAGGUUGGGUAACACUAACUGGAGGACCGAACCGACUAAUGUUGAAAAAUUAGCGGAUGACUUGUGGCUGGGGGUGAAAGGCCAAUCAAACCGGGAGAUAGCUGGUUCUCCCCGAAAGCUAUUUAGGUAGCGCCUCGUGAAUUCAUCUCCGGGGGUAGAGCACUGUUUCGGCAAGGGGGUCAUCCCGACUUACCAACCCGAUGCAAACUGCGAAUACCGGAGAAUGUUAUCACGGGAGACACACGGCGGGUGCUAACGUCCGUCGUGAAGAGGGAAACAACCCAGACCGCCAGCUAAGGUCCCAAAGUCAUGGUUAAGUGGGAAACGAUGUGGGAAGGCCCAGACAGCCAGGAUGUUGGCUUAGAAGCAGCCAUCAUUUAAAGAAAGCGUAAUAGCUCACUGGUCGAGUCGGCCUGCGCGGAAGAUGUAACGGGGCUAAACCAUGCACCGAAGCUGCGGCAGCGACGCUGAUGCGUUGUUGGGUAGGGGAGCGUUCUGUAAGCCUGUGAAGGUGUGCUGUGAGGCAUGCUGGAGGUAUCAGAAGUGCGAAUGCUGACAUAAGUAACGAUAAAGCGGGUGAAAAGCCCGCUCGCCGGAAGACCAAGGGUUCCUGUCCAACGUUAAUCGGGGCAGGGUGAGUCGACCCCUAAGGCGAGGCCGAAAGGCGUAGUCGAUGGGAAACAGGUUAAUAUUCCUGUACUUGGUGUUACUGCGAAGGGGGGACGGAGAAGGCUAUGUUGGCCGGGCGACGGUUGUCCCGGUUUAAGCGUGUAGGCUGGUUUUCCAGGCAAAUCCGGAAAAUCAAGGCUGAGGCGUGAUGACGAGGCACUACGGUGCUGAAGCAACAAAUGCCCUGCUUCCAGGAAAAGCCUCUAAGCAUCAGGUAACAUCAAAUCGUACCCCAAACCGACACAGGUGGUCAGGUAGAGAAUACCAAGGCGCUUGAGAGAACUCGGGUGAAGGAACUAGGCAAAAUGGUGCCGUAACUUCGGGAGAAGGCACGCUGAUAUGUAGGUGAAGUCCCUCGCGGAUGGAGCUGAAAUCAGUCGAAGAUACCAGCUGGCUGCAACUGUUUAUUAAAAACACAGCACUGUGCAAACACGAAAGUGGACGUAUACGGUGUGACGCCUGCCCGGUGCCGGAAGGUUAAUUGAUGGGGUUAGCGCAAGCGAAGCUCUUGAUCGAAGCCCCGGUAAACGGCGGCCGUAACUAUAACGGUCCUAAGGUAGCGAAAUUCCUUGUCGGGUAAGUUCCGACCUGCACGAAUGGCGUAAUGAUGGCCAGGCUGUCUCCACCCGAGACUCAGUGAAAUUGAACUCGCUGUGAAGAUGCAGUGUACCCGCGGCAAGACGGAAAGACCCCGUGAACCUUUACUAUAGCUUGACACUGAACAUUGAGCCUUGAUGUGUAGGAUAGGUGGGAGGCUUUGAAGUGUGGACGCCAGUCUGCAUGGAGCCGACCUUGAAAUACCACCCUUUAAUGUUUGAUGUUCUAACGUUGACCCGUAAUCCGGGUUGCGGACAGUGUCUGGUGGGUAGUUUGACUGGGGCGGUCUCCUCCUAAAGAGUAACGGAGGAGCACGAAGGUUGGCUAAUCCUGGUCGGACAUCAGGAGGUUAGUGCAAUGGCAUAAGCCAGCUUGACUGCGAGCGUGACGGCGCGAGCAGGUGCGAAAGCAGGUCAUAGUGAUCCGGUGGUUCUGAAUGGAAGGGCCAUCGCUCAACGGAUAAAAGGUACUCCGGGGAUAACAGGCUGAUACCGCCCAAGAGUUCAUAUCGACGGCGGUGUUUGGCACCUCGAUGUCGGCUCAUCACAUCCUGGGGCUGAAGUAGGUCCCAAGGGUAUGGCUGUUCGCCAUUUAAAGUGGUACGCGAGCUGGGUUUAGAACGUCGUGAGACAGUUCGGUCCCUAUCUGCCGUGGGCGCUGGAGAACUGAGGGGGGCUGCUCCUAGUACGAGAGGACCGGAGUGGACGCAUCACUGGUGUUCGGGUUGUCAUGCCAAUGGCACUGCCCGGUAGCUAAAUGCGGAAGAGAUAAGUGCUGAAAGCAUCUAAGCACGAAACUUGCCCCGAGAUGAGUUCUCCCUGACUCCUUGA
Molecule: ribosomal RNA, 2307 nt
Filed under: Escherichia coli
Lineage: Bacteria; Pseudomonadati; Pseudomonadota; Gammaproteobacteria; Enterobacterales; Enterobacteriaceae
Description: bacterial LSU rRNA
Rfam family: Bacterial large subunit ribosomal RNA
Source: RNAcentral